Long non-coding RNA from Salvia miltiorrhiza (redroot sage), 982 nucleotides. RefSeq lists it as uncharacterized. Lineage: Eukaryota; Viridiplantae; Streptophyta; Magnoliopsida; Lamiales; Lamiaceae. The record is from RefSeq and is a predicted model, not a curated record. The transcript has 2 exons.
UUCAGUAGCUUCCUGUGUGAUCUAGCUUUCCAAAUUUUUAUGGUAUCAACCUUACUGUAUGGGCUAGAUAUCCACCAAAUUGGAGCUCCGUUUGACAACGUUUACUAUUUUUAAAAAAUCAAUGUUUCCGAUUGCUCAAAACUGCCGAAUAUGGUAGACCGUGGUAAAAACGCCAUAUCUCCCAAACCACUUGGAGUUUCUGACUCUACUUUUUUUUAAAAUGAAACUAGACUCAAAUACCUUUCUUUUGGUAUGCGUCUGGAGUCCAGGAGAUGUCGGAGUCAGAACGUGUUAAAUUUUGAAGUUGAGUCAGUGGGAAAACAGAACCUGAUUUGUUGAUGUUUGAUUGUAUUUUCUUAUGUGCCUUAUGUGUUUAUGUUGCCUAAGUGUUUUAAUGAGAUUAGACGAGUCUUAUAUGAGAGAUAAAUCGAGACUUAGAACCAUGAUUUUCUUGAAACCUAUCCUUGGACUUAAGGAUUUGAAAUGAGUGAAGAAGUUUAUGUAGAGUCGAUUAAGAGAUAGAAUAUAAGAUAGAGCAUGAGUUAAGGCAUGAGUUUUUGUCGUUGAGUUCUAAUCGAGAUUCAUUUUAUGACAUGAACCUUCGAUGAUGACGAUGAUCCCUGAAGACACGAGCAGAGCAGGGAAGUAAGUAACUCCGCUUUGACGGGAGUUUUUGAGUAAGGUCUUCAGACUAAGCGAGGAGCGAGAUUGGUCUGGUGCUGGCGGGGAAAUGUUGGAGGAUGUAUUUACUUUAUCGUAUUUCCAUUUUGACGAUAAAGUCUUGAUGAUUGAUAUACUUAAAUUUUCUUUUGAAGUUAAGCAAUGUACUCACGGUUAUAUGUCUUCAUACAUAUAAUCGGUUCGCCUUUUGCUGCGAUACUCUGCAUAUUAUGAUUCCUUACGAAAAAUGAGCGAUACCCGUUUUGUUUUUGUUCGUGAAAUUCCUGAUAAUUAAAAAGUUAUAACGACAUUGACGAUUUUA